Long non-coding RNA from Bombyx mori (domestic silkworm), 501 nucleotides. RefSeq lists it as uncharacterized. NCBI's taxonomy places the organism in Eukaryota, Metazoa, Arthropoda, Insecta, Lepidoptera, Bombycidae. The transcript has 2 exons. The record is from RefSeq and is a predicted model, not a curated record.
CGUAGAGCAGACCACGGCUACGACCUUGCAGUUUCGCAUGGCGGCAUGCAGUUUGAGGUAGCCCCCGGUCAACACUACAACAACGGUGUGAAGUGAGCCCGGAUACACAUAUUUAAUAAAUAACGUUAUGAACGAGGUUUGGGUGGGGCAGUCGUUCUGCUAUAAAAAACUGAGAUUUAAAACCCAUAUCCCAAGAUGGAUUGCGACAUUUACGUUGUUAAUAUCUAAGGGCUCCAGUAACCAGGUGGACCGUGAGCUCGUUCACUCACCUAAGCAAAAAAGUGGGUGACGGCAUUCACGUAGUAUGUAGUGGACGCUGAUAGCCGCUAAAUGAGGAGUUGUAUCCUCUCCUUCACUCUUCAAAUAAUUAAGCUGAACGUAUUGUAGUGUAUAUAAUAUGCAAUGUUGCGUGUAUGUAUGUGCGAUUUCGGGCGACGCUCCUGCGAGGGCAGUCGUUUGCCUACCGCCGGCUAAGCAAGGUGUGCAAUAAAUGCCUAAUAU